GUUUGUUCUUAUCGAUCCAUUUCUUCGAGUGUGGGUGUCCUACGCUACUUCCGUUCAUGUUUACGUUCUCAAAAGACCUUGGAAAAACCAACGCCGACCAAAAUCCAAGUCUCCCUUUCUCUUUUGGGAGCAGAGCUGAAAAAGAUGGAAAUAUGUGCUAUGUGGAAUCACCGUAUCUUUCACUUUGGGCUUGACCAAGCAAGCCAGGCGUCUUCAAGAACUUUUAGUUCAACAACGCGAAAAGGAAAUCCAAUUUCGGUAAGACUUUGUCUGAUCUCCAUGCGUCUCGUGGUGGCC
This 297-nucleotide unclassified non-coding RNA is filed under the name Zea mays. RNAcentral describes it as "misc RNA Zm00001eb384390". The record is from RNAcentral. Lineage: Eukaryota; Viridiplantae; Streptophyta; Magnoliopsida; Poales; Poaceae.